This is a long non-coding RNA of Pleuronectes platessa (European plaice), 819 nucleotides long. RefSeq lists it as uncharacterized. The transcript is spliced from 5 exons. The record is from RefSeq and is a predicted model, not a curated record. Lineage: Eukaryota; Metazoa; Chordata; Actinopteri; Pleuronectiformes; Pleuronectidae.
GCGGACAUGACGUGUGGCUGUCGUAAAAACCCUAUUUGUAAACAACCAGCCCUUUAACUCGGGGCUGCGUCAUAAACACGGCGCGCUUGGAAGACCACGAUGUCAUCUUCCUUCUGUCAGGAGGAUCCAAGUGAAGCUACAGGAGUUUCAUUAACGUCAACAACUUGGACCAAACAGUUUGUUUUGCUUGAUGAAGAGCAGGAAGGGCAGCCUGGAGAGAAAGAGAAGCCGGGUUGAGCCCACUACCAUCAUCCACGUACCACGAGGAAGAUGAGGGAGAGAAAUGAUCCUACCAUUAAAGAGACUGUGAAAAGAACGUUGAGAACAUCACCACUCUACAGGAAGACACAGUCCAGUAAUGGGUGUCAGAAGUUCAGUAGUGAACGACAGGCAGUACUGAUGCAUUUACUGAGAGGGGACGUGAGGGCCUACUCUGCGUGCUCAGAGUUCAAGCCCAGCAGGCUGCAGCGGGCCUGACAUAUUCUGGAACAGCAGCACAGUCUUUGGAUGACUCCUCUGAAGAUGAAAACAUGGCGAGUUCUUCUCAAGAGAAGCAGUACAGGUGUGCCUCAGCUCCACGGUCCCUCCUGCAGCCUCCGCUCCUGAUGCUAACCUCAUGUCUCCAUCACACCAAGCAGCAGACCUGGAUUGACAGACCUUUCUCCAGAGCUGCCCCCUCCCUCUGAAACCCCCCUCUCCAAAACACUAUUUGUGUAGUUUUUAAAGUAUUUUUUGCAUGAGAAUUGUUGAUCAUAACAUUUCCAGCAGAUGCCUUAAUAUAAUGUUUGUGCACAAUAAAUUACAUUGAUCAUAACAUAA